RNAcentral lists this ribosomal RNA (406 nucleotides) under uncultured bacterium. Its description in RNAcentral is "bacterial SSU rRNA". It matches the Rfam family "Bacterial small subunit ribosomal RNA", at positions 986 to 1387 of the family's 1533-position model. The record is from RNAcentral.
GGGUAGGACACUAUCAGAGACGCAUUGGUGCCUUCGGGACUCUGAGACAGGUGCUGCAUGGCUGUCGUCAGCUCGUGUUGUGAAAUGUUGGGUUAAGUCCCGCAACGAGCGCAACCCUUAUCCUUGUUUGCCAGCGAGUAAUGUCGGGAACUCCAGGGAAACGGCCGGUGAUAAACCGAAGGAAGGGGGGAACAACUUCAAGUCUUCUGGGCCCUUACAAGUAGGGCUACCCACUUGCUACAUUGGCCCAUACAAAGGGCAGCCAAUUUGCAAAAGUGACCGAAUCCCAAAAAGUGCGUCGAAUUCCGAAUUGAAUUCUGCACCUCAACUCCUUGAAUUCGAAAUCCCUAGUAUUCGGGAAUCAAAUUGCCCCGGUAAAUACUUUCCCGGGCCUUGAACACCCGGA